Molecule: non-coding RNA, 2729 nt
Organism: Phascolarctos cinereus (koala)
Lineage: Eukaryota; Metazoa; Chordata; Mammalia; Diprotodontia; Phascolarctidae
Source: RefSeq, a predicted model, not a curated record
CAGACAGACACACGUUAAGAGAAAAAAAGAGACCGAUCUGGACAGACAACUGAUCGCUGGCACCACAAGUGAAGCCCGCUCGGACACAGAGAAACGCCAGACCAAUUUAUCUACAUGCCUCAUACACUUGGAAUUUGCACUGCCCAGUUUGCUGCACUCAAAAAAUAUAAAAAAAUCAUCACUGUUUCCAAUCAGUAUAGUUGAAUGACAUUCAGAAAAAGCUAAGAUUUAAGAGGUUCUUUCAGAGGCUACUCUAGCUGAGUUCAAUUUCUUACUGCAUCGGAGAACCAGGUAGAGAACAGUGCAACGUGCAGGGGUGGAAGACUGAGUUGGUUAACGAUGAGUUUUGAGCUAAAUGGAAGUCUAGUGAAAACAAGAAGCAGUGGGAAGGAAGAAGUGGCCUGGAGCAUCGAGGAAAGCUCCCUCCCUUGCCCCUUAGCUUUCUAAACAGUUUCAUUUAGGUUAACAAGCUAACAGCUAAGGGGCAAACAGACAGUACGAUUCACCAAAGAAUGCAAGUUUCUGAUCAGGGUGGACAAAUGUUUAGAAUAUAGGGCAUUAUGGAAUCCUCAAUGGUGGUGUCAGAGGUGAUUCUGCAAAAUCAAUGGGUAGCCUGCCAUCAUCAGGUCUUUGGGAUGAGGAAGCAGCUGAGAAGAGGGCUCAGAAAGGGGAGCAGAAAGGCAACAAAGACCAAACCAUUCCCAGUUUGUCUGCUGCCCUGCCAACAAAACCACCACUGAAAACGUGCUGCUGAUGCGAAAGAUCGCAGGCCUAGCGUGUCCGGCUGAACCUCCCCUAAUUCAGCCUCAAGUAUCUGAACUGGUCCCUCUAGCUUGGCAAGAGGACCCCCUUCAAUUUAUCUCCCUCUUUUUCUGAGAAAUGGUGUGAGGGAGGAAAAAGGAAGAGAAAAACUUCUCCUCCACUUUAUUGUAAGUAGAAGAUUUUCCCUAUUUCCUGAGAAUUUCACAAAGAUUUUCUUUUCUUGAAUUUAAAGAAUGGUGAGCCUCAAAGAAACCGCCCAGUCAAACACUUAUGGGAGAAAUGAGGGAGAUGAAGCAAAGCCUAGGUCCUGUGUUCUACAACACAUUUCCCCAGUAGUAAAUGAAACAAGUCCAGGGACCUAAAAGUCUCAGCCAAACAAAUCUCACCUCUCAAGAAGUGGAUCCAGCUGCAGCCACCUGUUAACAGUUUCACGGUCAAAAGCAGUGUUAAACAUGGACUUAUAAGAGAACUUUAAUGUAAUGGAAUAGAACAUAUAGGUUGCAUAAGCCUAGAAAAAUAGGGAUACUGUAUUUGUAGCUCCAUAUAACUCAAAGAAAAGCAUCAGCCAAUAAUCACUUAGCUUCUACAGUAUUGCUAUGUAGAAGACAAAGACAGACAUUAAUGAGACUAUUUGAAAAGCUCCAAGUUCAUCAAAGUAUUAGAUAUCCCACAGAUCCUAAAGUCGCUCUUAGUGAGUACAUACAAAGAAAAACUAUAGUACCAUGUAGCUCACCCAACUGUUGAUCUUUUAGAUGCUAAGAAACUUUGCAGAUUAGACAAAAGUAUUUGCUGUACUGCAGGUCAGCAGACCACUAUUAAAAUGUGGAUCAAGGGCUCUCACCAACACAUCAUUCUGACUUAGCUAAAGCUGUGCUAUGCACUUACAGAGUGACCCAUCCUGUAAUGGGCAUCUGGGUAGGAGUUCAGCCUGGUGGGAAUCUAGAGUGAAGCACUUAGGCUUGUCUUAAGAGAUCAGUACUAGGACAGAUAAUCAACAGCGGCAUUAGUAGGCUUCUUCUGGGUUGGUGACAAUUCUAUCCCUCCUUCCACAGCAAAAACACACUACUGGCACUUGUGAAAUACAUGGCCAAGGUCAAUGGCAUGAUAACAGAUGAUGUAUUAUGAGUACAUUAGAUGUUCAUAUGGUAGGCUGGACCUGAGGUCAAGUACUCAGGCUGUAUUAGUAUACAGAUGAAGCCUUGGUUGUGGUAUGUGACACUAAACCUAACUAGAAUUUGAUCAGCCUUGUGUACAUUAGUUUGAAACAAAACAGAUGCCAAAUUACAGCAGACACCAAGUACAUUAAAGAUGACUAUGCAUUGGUAAUUUACACAUAAGUAAGCUAACUCAAAAUCUACAGUCUAAGCCUGAAGGAUAGUCUUUCUGGGCCUAAGACCUGUAAGGUACCUUGAUGUACUGGCUUGAACUAGGCUGAUGGGUUAAAAUUUUGAUUCAACACUCAGUCUUGAGAGCACAUGGACAUCUAUGGCACAGACUUGUUGUUGUUCUAGUCACACUGAAAUAAAUAUGCCACUUUUUAUUUUUUUCAGUACUCAGGAAAUCCUACAAGACUGAAGAAGCCCACGUCUGGCUGCCAUAAGGAAUAGCAUCUCCACAGACUUCUUGCCAGUCUCCCAUCUCAAUCCCCACUAGAAGAAAACAAGCAGAUUUUCGUCAAGACGGAGCGCUUCCCACAAUUCUGUGAUUAGCCUCACAACCGCUCAGCUCCCAAACCAGACUUCCAACAACAAGCUGCCCUCCUCUGCAGUGUCUCCUGAAGAACCAACCCUAUAACAGCAAGUGCGGCUUAAAGAGAGAACAAGAAAAAGGGAACUUCACUAGUUCAGCCACGUGUCUCUUUGACCUCCAGGGCAUAUAGUUAAAGGCUAUAAGAUGACUUCAAAGACACUAGGGAACCAAGCUCACCUCCUGCCAAGGAGCACUGGGUGUCAUACUGCCACCCUGUG